UGGGCCUUAGUAUAGGAUGUACGAGGAUUUUUGGAAUCUUAAGGGGUAGUUUGAUUCUACCAGGCGCAG
RNAcentral lists this transfer RNA (69 nucleotides) under Callipogon relictus. RNAcentral's name for it is "tRNA-Gln". Lineage: Eukaryota; Metazoa; Arthropoda; Insecta; Coleoptera; Cerambycidae. The record is from RNAcentral.